CGCAUCUGUGCAUGCAGCAUAUCAAUAAGCGGAGGAAAAGAAACUAACAAGGAUUCCCCUAGUAACGGCGAGUGAAGCGGGAAGAGCUCAAAUUUGAAAUCUUAAAGGGUUUCCCUUUACGAAUUGUAGUUUAAAGAAGUGUUUUCUGUUGAGGUUUUGGUAAAAGUUCUUUGGAAUAGGACAUCAUAGAGGGUGAGAAUCCCGUAUUUGACCUUUACUUUCAACUUUGUGAUACACUUUCAAAGAGUCGGAUUGUUUAGGGAAUGCAGUCCAAAAUGGGUGGUAAAUUUCAUCUAAAGCUAAAUAUUGGCGAGAGACCGAUAGCGAACAAGUACCGUGAGGGAAAGAUGAAAAGAACUUUGAAAAGAGAGUUAAACAGUACGUGAAAUUGUCAAAAGGGAAGCGUUUGACACCAGUGUUGUUUUUCUGAAAAUCAAUUAAAGAACUGUUUAUGCUAAGCUGUUUAGACUUUAUCAGCUAUCUGUUUAGUUUUGAGCUUUUCUUUAAUGCACUUUUCAGUUAACAAGUCAACAUCAAUUUCUUUUGCUGUAAUAAAAGCUUGAGGAAGGUGGCUUGAGAUUCGUCUUAAGUGUUUAUAGCCUCUUGCCUAUGCAGUCGGAGGAGAUUGAGGUCUGCAGGCGUAGAUCCUUCGGGGCUAAAUGCAUUUGUGCUAAGUUAUAGCAUUUUAUAGACAACAUGUUGACUAUGAUUUGUCUUGUAGCUUACUCGCUUAUGUUAUUUUACCUACGCUUAGGAUGUUGAAUCUGUGCGAGACUAC
Molecule: ribosomal RNA, 778 nt
Filed under: uncultured Neocallimastigales
Lineage: Eukaryota; Fungi; Neocallimastigomycota; Neocallimastigomycetes; Neocallimastigales
Description: partial large subunit ribosomal RNA
Rfam family: Eukaryotic large subunit ribosomal RNA
Source: RNAcentral